GAUGAACGCUGACAGAAUGCUUAACACAUGCAAGUCAACUUGAACUUCGGUUUGGGUGGCGGACGGGUGAGUAACGCGUAAAGAACUUGCCUCACAGCUAGGGACAACAUUUGGAAACGAAUGCUAAUACCUGAUAUUAUGAUUAUAUGGCAUCGUAUAAUUAUGAAAGCUAUAUGCGCUGUGAGAGAGCUUUGCGUCCCAUUAGCUAGUUGGAGAGGUAACAGCUCACCAAGGCGAUGAUGGGUAGCCGGCCUGAGAGGGUGAUCGGCCACAAGGGGACUGAGACACGGCCCUUACUCCUACGGGAGGCAGCAGUGGGGAAUAUUGGACAAUGGACCGAGAGUCUGAUCCAGCAAUGCUGUGUGCACGAUGAAGUUUUUCGGAAUGUAAAGUGCUUUCAGUUGGGAAGAAAAAAUGACGGUACCAACAGAAGAAGUGACGGCUAAAUACGUG
RNAcentral lists this ribosomal RNA (453 nucleotides) under uncultured bacterium. Its description in RNAcentral is "partial 16S ribosomal RNA". It matches the Rfam family "Bacterial small subunit ribosomal RNA", at positions 28 to 507 of the family's 1533-position model. The record is from RNAcentral.